This 478-nucleotide ribosomal RNA is filed under the name uncultured bacterium. RNAcentral describes it as "partial 16S ribosomal RNA". It matches the Rfam family "Bacterial small subunit ribosomal RNA", at positions 28 to 523 of the family's 1533-position model. The record is from RNAcentral.
GACGAACGCUGGCGGCGUGCUUAACACAUGCAAGUCGAACGGUAAGGCCCUUCGGGGUACACGAGUGGCGAACGGGUGAGUAACACGUGGGUGAUCUGCCCUGCACUUCGGGAUAAGCCUGGGAAACUGGGUCUAAUACCGGAUAGGACCCUGGGAUGCAUGUCCUGGGGUGGAAAGCUUUUGCGGUGUGGGAUGGGCCCGCGGCCUAUCAGGUUGUUGGUGGGGUGAUGGCCUACCAAGGCGACGACGGGUAGCCGGCCUGAGAGGGUGACCGGCCACACUGGGACUGAGAUACGGCCCAGACUCCUACGGGAGGCAGCAGUGGGGAAUAUUGCACAAUGGGCGCAAGCCUGAUGCAGCGACGCCGCGUGAGGGAUGACGGCCUUCGGGUUGUAAACCUCUUUCAGCUAUGACGAAGCGCAAGUGACGGUAGUAGCAGAAGAAGGACCGGCCAACUACGUGCCAGCAGCCGCCGCAG